Molecule: long non-coding RNA, 267 nt
Filed under: Arabidopsis lyrata
Lineage: Eukaryota; Viridiplantae; Streptophyta; Magnoliopsida; Brassicales; Brassicaceae
Description: long non-coding RNA (ALYR_LNC002946)
Source: RNAcentral
UGACAAUAAUAUGGCAAUUUUGUAUACUUCUUUUUAUGCAGAGCUCCUAUAAAUAGAUUUCCAUGCUAAUUAUCUAUCUAUUUGAAUUUGAUCUAUACCGCCCCUCAUAUUUAAACUAGAGUUAGAAUAGUAAAUCCAGCUGCAUCUGGACAGCUCCUACGAUUUAAUUUUCUAAAGAAAUGCUGAAUUUGAACUUGUACAAUACAAUUGUAAUUUGAGUAUAGUCAAAAUAAUAUUGUGAACAAGAUGAUAGCUGAGAUAUAACGC